GGGAAUCUUCCACAAUGGGCGAAAGCCUGAUGGAGCAACGCCGCGUGAGUGAGGAAGGCUUUCGGGUCGUAAAGCUCUGUUGCCAGGGAAGAACGCUUGGGGGAGUAACUGCCCGCAAGGUGACGGUACCUGAGAAGAAAGCCCCGGCUAACUACGUGCCAGCAGCCGCGGUAAUACGUAGGGGGCAAGCGUUGUCCGGAAUUAUUGGGCGUAAAGCGCGCGCAGGCGGCUGCUUAGGUCUGGUGUAUAAGUGCGGGGCUCAACCCCGUGAGGCACUGGAAACUGGGCAGCUUGAGUGCAGAAGAGGAGAGCGGAAUUCCACGUGUAGCGGUGAAAUGCGUAGAUAUCAAGAGGAACACCUGAGGCGAAGGCGGGUUGCUGGGCCGACACUGACGCUGAUGCGCGAAAGCCAGGGGAGCAAACG
Molecule: ribosomal RNA, 424 nt
Filed under: uncultured bacterium
Lineage: Bacteria
Description: bacterial SSU rRNA
Rfam family: Bacterial small subunit ribosomal RNA
Source: RNAcentral